AUUAGAUAUUAAAACCAUCCCCUCGGGGCUGUGAUGAAUCAUAAUAACUGAUCGAAUCGAGGUUCGCCUUGAUAAAUCAUUCAAGUUUCUGCCCUAUCAGCUGUAGAUGGUAGUGUAUUGGACUACCAUGGCUAUUACGGGUAACGGAGAAUUAGGGUUCGAUUCCGGAGAGGGAGCCUGAGAAACGGCUACCACAUCUACGGAUGGCAGCAGGCGCGAAAAUUGCCCAAUCCCGAUUCGGGGAGGCAGUGACAAGAAAUACAACCCAGAACAUUGUUUCCGGGAUUGCAAUGAGAACAAUUUAAAACCUAUCGAGUACCAACUGGAGGGCAAGUUCUGGUGCCAGCAGCCGCGGUAAUUCCAGCUCCAGUAGCGUAUAUUAAAAGUUGCUGCAGUUAAAAAGCUCGUAGUUGAAUUUCUGUUUGUAAGAGUCGAAGCUUUACAGCUAAGAUUUCUUCGAACAUCUGUUGCUAAGCAUACGUUCGGCCUUCACUGGUU
Molecule: ribosomal RNA, 498 nt
Filed under: uncultured eukaryote
Lineage: Eukaryota
Description: SSU rRNA
Rfam family: Eukaryotic small subunit ribosomal RNA
Source: RNAcentral